This 253-nucleotide ribosomal RNA is filed under the name uncultured bacterium. Its description in RNAcentral is "partial 16S ribosomal RNA". It matches the Rfam family "Bacterial small subunit ribosomal RNA", at positions 524 to 776 of the family's 1533-position model. The record is from RNAcentral.
GACGUAGGAGGCGAGCGUUAUCCGGAUUCACUGGGCGUAAAGCGCAUGUAGGCGGUUGCACAAGUCCGUUGUUAAAGCCCCUGGCUCAACUGGGGGAGGUCAAUGGAGACUGUGCGACUUGAGGGCAAUAGAGGCACGUGGAACUCCCGGUGUAGCGGUGGAAUGCGUAGAGAUCGGGAAGAACACCAGUGGCGAAGGCGACGUGCUGGGUUGCACCUGACGCUGAGACACGAAAGCCAGGGGAGCAAACGGG